RNAcentral lists this ribosomal RNA (467 nucleotides) under Matutinus melichari. Its description in RNAcentral is "partial 16S ribosomal RNA". The stretch from base 340 to 467 matches the Rfam family "Bacterial large subunit ribosomal RNA", at positions 2473 to 2600 of the family's 2925-position model. Lineage: Eukaryota; Metazoa; Arthropoda; Insecta; Hemiptera; Delphacidae. RNAcentral also lists the same sequence under 1 other name. The record is from RNAcentral.
UUUAAAUAGCUGCAGUAUUUUAACUGUACAAAGGUAGCAUAGUAAUUAGUCUUUUAAUUGAGGUCUUGAAUGAAUGGUUUAACAAGAAAAUUACUUUAUUACAUUAAUUUAAUUAAUUUUAUUUUUUAGUUAAAAAGCUAAAAUUAUUAAAUGGGACGAUAAGACCCUAUAGAUCUUUAAAUUUUUAUAAAUUAAUAUAUUUUAGUUAAAUUAAUUUCAGUUUACUUAAAAUUUUUUAUUGGGGUGAUAUACAAAAUUUUUUAGCUUUGUAAUAUAUCUACAUGAAUCAAUGAUUUUAUUGAACCUAAAUUUUAGGUUACUAAAAUAAGAUACCUUAGGGAUAACAGCGUAAUAAGUUUGUAUAGUUCAUAUAGAUAAACUUUUUUACGACCUCGAUGUUGAAUUAAUUUAAAAUUUUGGAGCAGAAGAUGAAUAUUUUGGGUCUGUUCGACCUUUAAAAAAUUACA